CCCUUAGAUGUCCUGGGCCGCACGCGCGUUACACUGAUGCAUUCAACGAGCUUAUAACCUUGGCCGAGAGGCCUGGGCAAUCUUGUUAACGUGCAUCGUGAUAGGGAUAGAUUAUUGAAAUUAUUAAUCUUGAACGAGGAAUUCCUAGUAAACGCAGAUCAUCAAUCUGCAUUGAUUACGUCCCUGCCCUUUGUAUACACCGCCCGUCGCACCUACCGAUUGGAUGGUCCGGUGAAGCCUUGGGAUUGUGGUUCUUGCCGCUUUAUUGUGGCGUGACCGCGAGAACUUGUCUAAACCUUAUCAUCUAGAGGAAGGUGAAGUCGUAACA
Molecule: ribosomal RNA, 328 nt
Filed under: uncultured eukaryote
Lineage: Eukaryota
Description: partial 18S ribosomal RNA
Rfam family: Eukaryotic small subunit ribosomal RNA
Source: RNAcentral